This 465-nucleotide ribosomal RNA is filed under the name Vreelandella stevensii. Its description in RNAcentral is "partial 16S ribosomal RNA". It matches the Rfam family "Bacterial small subunit ribosomal RNA", at positions 338 to 795 of the family's 1533-position model. The record is from RNAcentral. Lineage: Bacteria; Pseudomonadati; Pseudomonadota; Gammaproteobacteria; Oceanospirillales; Halomonadaceae.
CCUACGGGAUGCAGCAGUGGGGAAUAUUGGACAAUGGGCGAAAGCCUGAUCCAGCCAUGCCGCGUGUGUGAAGAAGGCCUUCGGGUUGUAAAGCACUUUCAGUGGGGAAGAAAGCCUUGGGGCUAAUACCCUCGAGGAAGGACAUCACCCACAGAAGAAGCACCGGCUAACUCCGUGCCAGCAGCCGCGGUAAUACGGAGGGUGCGAGCGUUAAUCGGAAUUACUGGGCGUAAAGCGCGCGUAGGCGGUCUGAUAAGCCGGUUGUGAAAGCCCCGGGCUCAACCUGGGAACGGCACCCGGAACUGUCAGGCUAGAGUGCAGGAGAGGAAGGUAGAAUUCCCGGUGUAGCGGUGAAAUGCGUAGAGAUCGGGAGGAAUACCAGUGGCGAAGGCGGCCUUCUGGACUGACACUGACGCUGAGGUGCGAAAGCGUGGGUAGCAAACAGGAUUAGAUACCCGAGUAGUC